This 587-nucleotide ribosomal RNA is filed under the name uncultured bacterium. RNAcentral describes it as "partial 16S ribosomal RNA". It matches the Rfam family "Bacterial small subunit ribosomal RNA", at positions 355 to 1375 of the family's 1533-position model. The record is from RNAcentral.
CGGGGAAUUUUGGACAAUGGGCGAAAGCCUGAUCCAGCAAUGCCGCGUGUGUGAAGAAGGCCUUCGGGUUGUAAAGCACUUUUGUCCGGAAAGAAAUCCUUGGCUCUAAUACAGUCGGGGGAUGACGGUACCGGAAGAAUAAGCACCGGCUAACUACGUGCCAGCAGCCGCGGUAAUACGUAGGGUGCAAGCGUUAAUCGGAAUUACUGGGCGUAAAGCGUGCGCAGGCGGUUUGCUAAGACCGAUGUGAAAUCCCCGGGCUCAACCUGGGAACUGCAUUGGUGACUGGCAGGCUAGAGUAUGGCAGAGGGGGGUAGAAUUCCACGUGUAGCAGUGAAAUGCGUAGAGAUGUGGAGGAAUACCGAUGGCGAAGGCAGCCCCCUGGGCCAAUACUGACGCUCAUGCACGAAAGCGUGGGGAGCAAACAGGAUUAGAUACCCUGGUAGUCCACGCCCUAAAACGAUGUCAACUAGUUGUUGGGGGAUUCAUUUCCUUAGUAACGUAGCUAACGCGUGAAGUUGACCGCCUGGGGAGUACGGUCGCAAGAUUAAAACUCAAAUGAAUUGACGGGGUCAUAGCUGUUUCCU